UGCUUUGGAGUUAGCCUCCUGGCUUCUGCAGCAUUAUUCCGUCCAUGAUGUGGGUGUGUGGUGAGAACAUGUGGUGGCUUUUUGUACAGCCACGUAUCCAGAGGACACAGUGACCUCAUAGGCUCAGCUCAAGCCCCGUGACCGCCUUCAGAAAGUUAUACUCCCAAGCAUACUGACACUGAAUGCCCCAGGCUUGGCAUCCUCAGCAGCACCCAGACUUCCUUUGUGGACUCGCCUAUGGGCUGGAUGCCCGCACCCUGCAGGCUGGCUCAUUUCCUUCCUGUCUGCUGAGUGUGGACCAGCUUCAGCCCAGAAACCCCAGAAGCGCAGUCUGCCAUCCAGGAGAUGCAACCAUGCCUUCCCUAACAAGACUCAGGGCUAAUCAAGCAGAGGAUUCUCCUGACCAAUUCACGAAGACUGUCGGUGUCUGAUGCUGUGUUGGGUGCAGGUACAGGAGCUUACACCCUGACUGUCAUAUUCAGGAGACAGAAGAAAGAGAGUUGCUAUGGGUGUGAUCCAACCUGGCCUCACAGUGAGUAGUAGACUCUUAAGAAAUGGAAUGAAACCACGUCUUGUCUACUGAUCUGUCUGCAAGGUUCACACAGUACAACAGGCAAGGAUGGAAGCCAUUUUUGUUAGAGUUCCUGUGUUGUUGGUGCAUCUAAGAGAAAUGCAAUUUGCUGACAGGAUCUUCAGCUUCUAAAGAGCUUCCCUUGCUAAGCAAUUUCGUCCCAUCCCCUAUGUCCAUCUUCAUCUAUCGUGGAUAGAUGGAUUUUAACAUCCUUGGUAGUAUGAUCGCUUCAUCCACAUGGAGGAUUUGUGGUAUCUACCGUAUAGAAAGGAGAAUGCACUUUAUAUAGAUUUUAGAAAACAAUGAUAUUAAAACUAUAUCUCCUUCCUGUAUUAGACACAGGUAAAAAUAAAUUAAAUCAGUGAUUUAAAAAAAAAACACUGAAUAACUUUGGUUUCAUGCAUACAAUUUACCAUGAAACAUUAAGUGUGGGUAAGUGGAAACAGGGGAAAAAGAGAUUAUCCACAAUAUAUACCAUAUAAGUUCAUACACUAUACAAGUUCAUUCUGGGACUCAACAAAAGAAAAGCAACAAGGAAGCAAUGAAGUGAUAGACCCAAGGGACUCCUUGAAAGUUGAUGACUAAUUAAAAUAUGGCUACAAGAAGUGCCCCUGCUAAUGAAUGGAUAUUGGAAUUGGGAAAUGAAUAUGGUUAAAUUUUUUAAAAUGGAUGAUUCACGAAGAAUGGAUUACAAAGGGCACUAACAUUGAAUUCCUCUUGUAACCCAAUGAAUUUAAGGGGAUUAUGGCAAAGCAUGUGACAAAGAAAACCUCAGACAUAUGUGUAGUGCUGUGGCCAAAGUGGGGGGGGGGCACCAGGCUGAAAUAAAGUAGUGGGAAGGAUUUUAUACAGAGAAGAAAUAGCAAGGGGGCUGUUUGGUAUUUUGAGCAUGGAGAUCUUUAUGAACAAAAGUUCUAAGCUGUGCUAAUUGAAGAAGAAAAUGUGUAAAGUGGGCAGGGGUACAUUCCAAGUAACAACAACAGAGUACUGGUGUGUGAUCACAUCAGGAUUGACUAAGGAGGGAGAAGCAGCUGCAGAAGAGGCAGUACCUACAUCGGCUGCAUUUAAAAUAUUUGCUGUGAGAAAGAAAAGUUUUCCAAACUGGGUCUGGAAAAAAAUAUUUGGCCAAGGUUUUAGCUGGGUGCCCACUAUUGGUAACUGAAACUUCGGAGUUUGUGGGUCUUGUUUGGAUGGUGCUGCAUCCAUUCUCAUCUGUAGAACCUUUAAUCUUUCUGCUACAGGACUCACUGGACUAUUCAGAGCUUCAGUUCUCUCUGUUGUGAAGUAUGGACAAUAAUUUCCAUUCAGAAUUAUUUUUUUUUAAGUUUGGUGAAGUAAUGUCUGCAAAACACUUAGCAGAAUGCAUGUCUUACAUAAAAGGUAAAAAAAAAAAAAAAAACGAUGUGUUUUAUAGGUGAGCACAGUGGUCCGUGGCUGUUAUCUCAGUUCUGGAGAAGCAGGAGCAGAAAGAUCAAAGGUUUGAGUUUCCAGAAGAUGAUGUCAUAAAAUCUAUAUAAGCAUAUGUAUGCAUAGAUGCUAUUUUCUUAAGAAACAAUUUUAAUGUUCCCAUGGGAGCAAGUGUAGACUGCAUCAUGCUGAAAUGAUCAAUGUCAGUCAAUUUAACAGUACCCAGAGACCAGUAUCUCAGAAACACAUAGUUCAGACAGCAACAUAAAGAAAGAAGGGAGACUUAUAGUCACCUUGGGUGAUGGAAUACAAUAGGAUAUUCUAGAGAUUGAAACAUGGCAUGAUACUCGGAAUGAAAGUUUUAGAAGAAGAUCCAGCAUCAGCCAGGGUCAGCCCAGAAUUUGUAGCUUGGUAAGUUUGUUUGGAAUCGUCUCUCUCUCUCUGGCCUAACCUGUGCUUGGUAAUUGCUCUUGAACGUCUCUGUGCACUUAGUAAGCUGUUGUUCCUGCCAUCACAAAUCUGUGAACAGGCUCUCCAUAAGAGUUUCUCACUUCUUGGACUGACAAAGAAGCAGAAGGUAACAUGAUCUUCAUCCCUGGGUCUGUUUAUAAAUUAUUCUUGGGCCAUGAAAAUAGCAUAGUCAUGAAUUCAUCAUUUUAAGGAAAUUCCUUUUGCUUGAAAAUAGAAUAUGUUUGGUUCCCAGUACUAAGCUUAUAAAUCCCUAUGAUUCCUUAUUUGGAAUUAAUCCUUCUGAAUUAAACUAGACCAUAAAAUCUGUGAUGGGUCAGACCAAACACGAACAACACACUACUGCUAUCCACCUAAAAAAAAAAGUGUGUGUCUGGGGGGACUUGAAUUGUAGCAUCUCAGGAGCAGUAAAUAUCUUACUACAAAGUGAGGCAGGAAUCUUAAACCUUUCUUACUUUGAGUCUUAAUUUUGGAUUGAGUUCAAUGUCAUGUUAACAAUUAAAUCUAUUUUAUGUUUUAUUGAUGUAAUUCUCCCUAUUGUAAAUGAUUUCCAUUUAUAAGGUCCUCUUAUGGCAAAGAGAACUUCUUAUUCUGUCUUACCAUCUGCUUUAUAAGGAAGAUAAAUAUGCAAAGCAGCAAUGUCAUAAAAGUUGCCUGUGUGUGGUCUGGGGCCUGCUUAAUGUAGAAUCAGAGGGCUUGGACUCAAGGUGCUUCCUCCCAUCACCUCCAACAAGAGAUCCCCACCUCUUCUUGAAUAGGGUAGUUUUAAGGCAUACUGACUACUGCAGUUCAUCAUUGAGUUUAAAUCCCUACUGAAUAUGUCCCUUAACAAAGGGACCCCCAUUCUCAGGUAUAACUAUAAAUGAAGAACUCCUGGAUAUUCAAAGCAUGACUGUGAGUAAAUUCUUCCACUCUUCUAUGACCUGUCAAUAAAAAGCAAUCUUGUUUAACAUUUAUUAUGCUAGAGCACCUUUAAGAAUGAAAAUGUACACUUGAUCUUAGCCAAAAAGAUGUGGAGAAAGAGGAACACUUCUCCACUGCUGGUGGGAGUGCCAACUUGUACAGCCACUUUGGAAAUC
Molecule: non-coding RNA, 3525 nt
Organism: Cricetulus griseus (Chinese hamster)
Lineage: Eukaryota; Metazoa; Chordata; Mammalia; Rodentia; Cricetidae
Source: RefSeq, a predicted model, not a curated record